Molecule: non-coding RNA, 169 nt
Filed under: uncultured Mallomonas
Lineage: Eukaryota; Synurophyceae; Synurales; Mallomonadaceae
Source: RNAcentral
UAGAAAAAGUAUAAAAACAAGAAAAAGACAGAGAGAAGAAGUAUAAAAACUGUUUAGGAAGCAUCUGUACGCGCUCUUUUCCCCCAGCUUCCUUUCUGCAUAUAUUCUUUUAGUCUUCCUUUCACUUUCUCGUUAUCUAUCUCUCUUAAUACUUCAGGUAGGUCUGUUA